Molecule: long non-coding RNA, 847 nt
Organism: Armigeres subalbatus
Lineage: Eukaryota; Metazoa; Arthropoda; Insecta; Diptera; Culicidae
Exons: 3
Source: RefSeq, a predicted model, not a curated record
UAGGCGAAGAAAUCAAAAACAAAAGUGAACUGAGAGCGAGACUGUAUCUAGCAUGAAUAGUAACAGAAUUAAUACCUCUUUUCUAUUACUAUUCCUGCUGGAUACGUAACAUGAGACGUAAAUGGAAUGAAUAAGAUAUCGGCAUUGGUGAUCAGACUGGAUUUGAAUGCUCCCGUGAACAACAACUUCGGCGACGACGGCGUGUAGAAAACUCUUUGGAGACUGCCGCGCACAUCACUUUUAAAAAUCUAGUGUAGCAUAUGACAUUGUAAUCGAGCAGCCCGUAGACAUUAUCGCAAGUUAAAAAGUGAACCUUGUAUCAUUCAUACCUCAUUAUGAUUCGCGCUGGAGGCUGCAGGCAUGCAACCCAUCACUUUCCAUCGUUUCGCUAGUAGCUGUUACGAGCAUCACUUACGAUUUCUACACCAGCAGACAGUCAAAACAUCAAUCAAACCAUCAUCGUUGCAUCGUGAAAUCCGAAACAGUAGCGGGAUAGUCACAGCUUGAUCAAGCGUGAUCGAACGGAGAUGAUGCGAACCUGCAAUGUGGUGCGGCUGUUUGCACAUUUUUACUUCAAACAACGAUAAGGAGAUUCAAUUUCACCACAACUGCUUUUUACCCUAAGCUCGGGAGAAUAUAAAUUAAAUGCAGUUUUUGCUGGCGUCUGCGCAGAUUAUUGCAUCUUCACUUUUGUGAGUGGCUUCAGACCUAAAAACGUUUCAAAUGUGUGUUUGCAACACUACAAGCCCACCUGACGAACAGUAGACCCAGAAAAUGUGAACACGGGAAAUAUUUUUUGGUACUUCACGUUCACACGUUGACGAGUGGGUAUCGGCAAGAAACUCGU